This 157-nucleotide ribosomal RNA is filed under the name uncultured Enterobacteriaceae bacterium. RNAcentral describes it as "partial 16S ribosomal RNA". It matches the Rfam family "Bacterial small subunit ribosomal RNA", at positions 376 to 526 of the family's 1533-position model. The record is from RNAcentral. Lineage: Bacteria; Pseudomonadati; Pseudomonadota; Gammaproteobacteria; Enterobacterales; Enterobacteriaceae.
CGCAGCCUGAUGCAGCCAUGCCGCGUGUAUGAAGAAGGCCUUCGGGUUGUAAAGUACUUUCAGCGGGGAGGAAGGUGAUGAGGUUAAUAACCUCAGCAAUUGACGUUACCCGCAGAAGAAGCACCGGCUAACUCCGUGCCAGCAGCCGCGGUAAUAA